RNAcentral lists this ribosomal RNA (497 nucleotides) under uncultured bacterium. Its description in RNAcentral is "partial 16S ribosomal RNA". It matches the Rfam family "Bacterial small subunit ribosomal RNA", at positions 28 to 507 of the family's 1533-position model. The record is from RNAcentral.
GAUGAACGCUGGCGGCGUGCCUAAUACAUGCAAGUCGAGCGAACAGACGGGGAGCUUGCUCCUCUGACGUUAGCGGCGGACGGGUGAGUAACACGUGGAUAACCUACCUAUAAGACUGGGAUAACUUCGGGAAACCGGAGCUAAUACCGGAUAAUAUAUUGAACCGCAUGGUUCAAUAGUGAAAGACGGUUUUGCUGUCACUUAUAGAUGUAUCCGCGCCGCAUUAGCUAGUUGGUAAGGUAACGGCUUACCAAGGCAACGAUGCGUAGCCGACCUGAGUGGGUGAUCGGACACACGGGAACUGAGACACGGUCCAGACUCCUACGGGAGGCAGCAGUAGGGAAUCUACCGAAAUGGGAGAAAGCCUGACGGAGCAACGCCGCGUGAGUGAUGAAGGUCUUCGGAUCGUAAAACUCUGUUAUUAGGGAAGAACAAAUGUGUAAGUAACUAUGCACGUCUUGACGGUACCUAAUCAGAAAGCCACGGCUAACUACGUG